GCAAGUCGAGCGAGAAAGCACUUCGGUGCGAGUACAGCGGCGGACGGGUGAGUAACGCGUAGGAAUCUACCCAGUAGUGGGGGACAACAUGGUGAAAACCAUGCUAAUACCGCAUACGCCCUAAGGGGGAAAGCGGGGGAUCUUCGGACCUCGCGCUAUUGGAUGAGCCUGCGUAGGAUUAGCUUGUUGGUGAGGUAAGAGCUCACCAAGGCAAUGAUGAAUAGCCGGCCUGAGAGGGUGACC
Molecule: ribosomal RNA, 243 nt
Filed under: uncultured bacterium
Lineage: Bacteria
Description: partial 16S ribosomal RNA
Rfam family: Bacterial small subunit ribosomal RNA
Source: RNAcentral